GUCGAGCGGUAAGGCCCUUCGGGGUACACGAGCGGCGAACGGGUGAGUAACACGUGAGCAACCUGCCCCUGACUCCGGGAUAAGCGGUGGAAACGCCGUCUAAUACCGGAUACGACCCGCCACCUCAUGGUGGAGGGUGGAAAGUUUUAUCGGUCAGGGAUGGGCUCGCGGCCUAUCAGCUUGUUGGUGGGGUAAAGGCCUACCAAGGCGAUUACGGGUAGCCGGCCUGAGAGGGCGACCGGCCACACUGGGACUGAGACACGGCCCAGACUCCUGCGGGAGGCAGCAGUGGGGAAUAUUGCACAAUGGGCGAAAGCCUGAUGCAGCGACGCCGCGUGGGGGAUGAAGGCCUUCGGGUUGUAAACCUCUUUUACCACCAACGCAGGCUCCACGUUCUCGUGGGGUUGACGGUAGGUGGGGAAUAAGGACCGGCUAACUACGUGCCAGCAGCCGCGGUAAUACGUAGGGUCCGAGCGUUGUCCGGAAUUAUUGGGCGUAAAGAGCUCGUAGGCGGCAUGUCGCGUCUGCUGUGAAAGACCGGGGCUUAACUCCGGUUCUGCAGUGGAUACGGGCAUGCUAGAGGUAGGUAGGGGAAACUGGAAUUCCUGGUGUAGCGGUGAAAUGCGCAGAUAUCAGGAGGAACACCGGUGGCGAAGGCGGGUUUCUGGGCCUUACCUGACGCUGAGGAGCGAAAGCAUGGGGAGCGAACAGGAUUAGAUACCCUGGUAGUCCAUGCCGUAAACGUUGGGCGCUAGGUGUGGGGACUUUCCACGGUUUCCGCGCCGUAGCUAACGCAUUAAGCGCCCCGCCUGGGGAGUACGGCCGCAAGGCUAAAACUCAAAGGAAUUGACGGGGGCCCGCACAAGCGGCGGAGCAUGUUGCUUAAUUCGACGCAACGCGAAGAACCUUACCAAGGUUUGACAUCACCCGUGGACCUGUAGAGAUACAGGGUCAUUUAGUUGGUGGGUGACAGGUGGUGCAUGGCUGUCGUCAGCUCGUGUCGUGAGAUGUUGGGUUAAGUCCCGCAACGAGCGCAACCCUUGUUCCAUGUUGCCAGCACGUAAUGGUGGGGACUCAUGGGAGACUGCCGGGGUCAACUCGGAGGAAGGUGGGGACGACGUCAAGUCAUCAUGCCCCUUAUGUCUUGGGCUGCAAACAUGCUACAAUGGCCGGUACAAUGGGCGUGCGAUACCGUAAGGUGGAGCGAAUCCCUUAAAGCCGGUCUCAGUUCGGAUUGGGGUCUGCAACUCGACCCCAUGAAGGUGGAGUCGCUAGUAAUCGCGGAUCAGCAACGCCGCGGUGAAUACGUUCCCGGGCCUUGUACACACCGCCCGUCACGUCAUGAAAGUCGGCAACACCCGAAACUUGUGGCCUAACCCUUCGGGGAGGGA
RNAcentral lists this ribosomal RNA (1391 nucleotides) under Nocardiopsis sp. II_Gauze_K_8_1. RNAcentral's name for it is "16S ribosomal RNA". It matches the Rfam family "Bacterial small subunit ribosomal RNA". Lineage: Bacteria; Bacillati; Actinomycetota; Actinomycetes; Streptosporangiales; Nocardiopsidaceae. The record is from RNAcentral.